UAGCAUAUCAAUAAGCGGAGGAAAAGAAACCAACAGGGAUUGCCCUAGUAACGGCGAGUGAAGCGGCAACAGCUCAAAUUUGAAAUCUGGCUCUUUCAGAGUCCGAGUUGUAAUUUGCAGAGGGCGCUUUGGCGUUGGCAGCGGUCCAAGUUCUUUGGAACAGGACGUCACAGAGGGUGAGAAUCCCGUACGUGGUCGCUAGACUUCGCCGUGUAAAGCCCCUUCGACGAGUCGAGUUGUUUGGGAAUGCAGCUCUAAAUGGGAGGUAAAUUUCUUCUAAAGCUAAAUACUGGCCAGAGACCGAUAGCGCACAAGUAGAGUGAUCGAAAGAUGAAAAGCACUUUGGAAAGAGAGUCAAAUAGCACGUGAAAUUGUUGAAAGGGAAGCGCUUGCAGCCAGACUUGCCUGUAGUUGCUUAUCCAGACUUUUGUCUGGUGCACUCUUCUAUAGGCAGGCCAGCAUCAGUUUGGGCGGUUGGAUAAAGGUCUCUAUCACGUACCUCUCUUCGGGGAGGCCUUAUAGGGGAGACGACAUACAACCAGCCUGGACUGAGGUCCGCGCAUCUGCUAGGAUGCUGGCGUAAUGGCUGUAAGCGGCCCGUCUUGAAACACGGACCAAGGAGUCUAACAUCUAUGCGAGUGUUUGGGUGUCAAGCCCAUACGCGUAAUGAAAGUGAACGGAGGUGGGAACCUUUUAGGUGCACCAUCGACCGAUCCUGAUGUCUUCGGAUGGAUUUGAGUAAGAGCAUGGCUGUUGGGACCCGAAAGAUGGUGAACUAUGCUUGAAUAGGGUGAAGCCAGAGGAAACUCUGGUGGAGGCUCGCAGCGGUUCUGACGUGCAAAUCGAUCGUCAAAUUUGGGCAUAGGGGCGAAAGACUAAUCG
Molecule: ribosomal RNA, 882 nt
Filed under: Ophiosphaerella agrostidis
Lineage: Eukaryota; Fungi; Ascomycota; Dothideomycetes; Pleosporales; Phaeosphaeriaceae
Description: eukaryotic LSU rRNA
Rfam family: Eukaryotic large subunit ribosomal RNA
Source: RNAcentral